GUGUCAGCAGCCGCGGUAAUACGUAGGGGGCAAGCGUUGUCCGGAUUUAUUGGGCGUAAAGAGCGUGUAGGCGGCUGGGUAGGUCUGCUGUGAAAACUCGAGGCUCAACCUCGAGACGUCGGCGGAAACCCUCCAGCUAGAGUCCGGAAGAGGAGAGUGGAAUUCCUGGUGUAGCGGUGAAAUGCGCAGAUAUCAGGAAGAACACCCGUGGCGAAAGCGGCUCUCUGGGACGGUACUGACGCUGAGACGCGAAAGCGUGGGGAGCGAACAGGAUUAGAUACCCUAGUAGUCC
RNAcentral lists this ribosomal RNA (292 nucleotides) under uncultured bacterium. RNAcentral describes it as "partial 16S ribosomal RNA". It matches the Rfam family "Bacterial small subunit ribosomal RNA", at positions 505 to 796 of the family's 1533-position model. The record is from RNAcentral.